RNAcentral lists this ribosomal RNA (527 nucleotides) under Ctenodactylus gundi (northern gundi). RNAcentral's name for it is "partial small subunit ribosomal RNA". It matches the Rfam family "Bacterial small subunit ribosomal RNA", at positions 321 to 1008 of the family's 1533-position model. The record is from RNAcentral. Lineage: Eukaryota; Metazoa; Chordata; Mammalia; Rodentia; Ctenodactylidae.
GAUAUAAAGGAGCCGGUAUCAAGUACACAAUUGUAGCUCAAAACACCUUGCUAAGCCACACCCCCACGGGAAACAGCAGUGAUAAAACUUAAGCAAUAAACGAAAGUUUGACUAAGUCAUGCAUAAUAGAGCUGGUCAACUUCGUGCCAGCCACCGCGGUCAUACGAUGAGCUCUAAUUAAUAAACUACGGCGUAAAGAGUGUUUAAGAAAUACCAAAUAAUUAAGAGAAAACUUAGUUUAAGUCGUAAAAAACCUUAACUAAAGUAAGCCAGCCAACGAAAGUACUCUUAUAUAGUCUGAAUACACGAUAGCUAAGGCCCAAACUGGGAUUAGAUACCCCACUAUGCUUAGCCGUAAACAAUAACAUUUAUACAACAAAAAUCUUCGCCAGAGAACUACUAGCCACAGCUAAAAACUCAAAGGACUUGGCGGCACUUCACAUCCCUCUAGAGGAGCUUGUUCUAUAAUCGAUAAACCCCGAUAAACCUAACCACCUUUUGCUAAAUCAGCCUAUAUACCGCCAUCU